RNAcentral lists this transfer RNA (74 nucleotides) under Verruconis gallopava. RNAcentral's name for it is "tRNA-Asn (GTT) (tRNA-Asn-GTT-1-1, tRNA-Asn-GTT-1-2)". It matches the Rfam family "tRNA". Rfam says of the family: Transfer RNA (tRNA) molecules are approximately 80 nucleotides in length. Their secondary structure includes four short double-helical elements and three loops (D, anti-codon, and T loops). Lineage: Eukaryota; Fungi; Ascomycota; Dothideomycetes; Venturiales; Sympoventuriaceae. The record is from RNAcentral.
UGCCCGGUGGCGCAAUUGGUUAGCGCGUCUGACUGUUAAUCAGGAGGUUGAGAGUUCAAGCCUCUCCCGGGCAG